UGCGGCCAACCAACUCCGGUUGAUUCUGCCGGAGGCCACCGCUGUUGGGGUCCGACUAAGCCAUGCGAGUGGCGGGCGCUUCCGAAAGGGAGUGGCCCCGCGCACGGCUCAGUAACACGUAGUCAACCUACCCUCGGGACGGGGAUAACCCCGGGAAACUGGGGAUAAUACCCGACAGGAAAUGGAGGCUGGAAUGCGCCAUUUCCCAAACCCAGCGGGUAAAACCGUUUGGGCCCGAGGAUGGGACUGCGGCCUAUCAGGUAGUUGGUGGUGUAACGGACCACCAAGCCUACGACGGGUACGGGCGAUGGGAGUCGGAGCCCGGAGAUGGGGACUGA
RNAcentral lists this ribosomal RNA (338 nucleotides) under Hadesarchaea archaeon. RNAcentral's name for it is "bacterial SSU rRNA". It matches the Rfam family "Archaeal small subunit ribosomal RNA", at positions 1 to 306 of the family's 1478-position model. The record is from RNAcentral. Lineage: Archaea; Methanobacteriati; Hadarchaeota (SeqCode); Hadarchaeia (SeqCode).